This is a non-coding RNA of Misgurnus anguillicaudatus (oriental weatherfish), 3723 nucleotides long. Lineage: Eukaryota; Metazoa; Chordata; Actinopteri; Cypriniformes; Cobitidae. The record is from RefSeq and is a predicted model, not a curated record.
CUUCAAAUGAUGUGGUGGGCUUCUGUUCUGCCUGUUGAGAGAGAGUCGCCGAGGCCAACGGUACUGGUGGGCUAGAUGGGGCGGAGAGGGGCGGAGUCCGGCUAUCUGCCAGGCUGCUUUGACUUACACAUUGCAGUUAUUUCUUGUUUUGUCCUGUAUAAGUGGGCAAACCCAACCUUGAGGACACGUAGCUUCGCUUUCUCCAUGAGUGAGGCCUGUUUGUCAGGUUUAUCCUUUAAUCCAGAUUCAAGCAGCUGUUCAAAUGUGAAGACUCCAUUCUCCAUCAGCUAAAUAGAGUGGACUUGAAUGUCCUGCACUCUUACUUUCUGAAGCUCCUCUGUGAAUCCAUCCUGAGGGAAGUCCUUGCAGACUCGGGUCAGCUCAUCCUCCAGUAGCAACCUGGCGGCCUGGAAGCCUGUACUGAUUGGACCCAUCAGCUCUUCCAGGAUUGAAGCCAGCUUGGGCAACAGCUCAGUCUGCAAAGAGGGCAGCAGCUCCUCCAUCACCAGGUUAGCAAGCACCUGCAAACACACAGAGAGAGUCAAUAUGGACUGUGGGUAGUCACAGCAGAUUCAGAGAGCUGUAAAUGAGUCACAGACAUCAAACAUCUUCAUGCUAUUGAGUCAUGAAGAAACCGUAAAAGCACAGAAUCAAUCGAUUGUUGUAAUGUCAUAGCAACGAGUCAGUCUCAACACAUAACCACAAAACAGAUAUAAUCACCGAAUGCAUGGCCGAUCAAGACAGAAGAUUGUCUGUUAGUGUCACAGAGCAUUGAACAUGCUUUCGAAUGACAUAAUACAUUGAUUCUGAAUGGUCAAUCGCCGCCAGUCAAAUAUUAUUCUGCAUGUUGUCCCAAAACAACCAUAGCUGUACUGAUUGUAUCUCUAACGCUUUCAUUUGAAAUAUUUGUGUUUAUUUGUGUCAUACAGUAAGUGGCGUUGGGGUCCUGUCCAUCCGCUUGAGUUUGUUUUUCAUAACCGCUAUUUUGGUUUCCUAACACACUAACACCUUUUUUACCAAAUAAGGGUCGAAAAUGGGACCUAACAAUAGUUUAAGGAAGGCAGAGGUGUUCCUUUGAUUGGGUACAGGACAUCCUGUUAGACCCUGCUGUGAUCUCAAGAUCUUACAUCCUCUAAUAAUAGGGAUUUUGGUGUCAGAAGCAACAUAUUAAAUUGUAGUGCAACAUUCACUAUUACUGUUUUCCUCAUAGUCAGGGUUAGAUAUUUGUUAUUUGUUGGCACGAAAGGGCUGUUAAUGUUAUAAACAUAAAUGAUUUUAUUCACAUGUUAAGUCUGACAUCACACAGACCUGCUUGUGGGUCCAAAUGCUAUAUCAGUUGUAUUAAAGUCAGAUAUUAAAUGUGUUCUGAGUUUGUCACACCACAUAAAAAAAAGGAAAUUUAAAUGAAGGAAAAAAACGCAAGUAAAUAAAAUAAGUUAUUAAAAUAGGCAGCAUUCUCUGCCGUCAAGCAGUGGGGACGUGUCCCUGCCCGCUGUCAUUUAAAUGCGAGAGUGAAUCCCCUAAAUGUUCAUUACAUGUCUGUACAGAAUAAGAUCACUCCCGAAAAUGUAAUGAUUGACACAGAGAUAACCGUAGCAACGUUCUGCCGUCGCAUGCUUAUCCAAAAUAGCAAAAUAAUUUGGUCACAGCGGGCUGUCUUGCAGUGUUGCCAGGUCCUCGUCUUUUUUUGUACGUACAUACCGCUUUGGCGCAUAAUCGUUAAGGCUUUUGGCUCAUGAAGUGAUCAAGAUUUUGGUGUUAUUAAAGUGUGAAGGUGCCGGUCCCAAUAUUUUGAUCUUUGAGGUAAAUCAUUUGGAUUUAUUUCGGUUUAUUAUUGGAUUUUUCUUGUUCGCCUGUUUUUUUUCGUGCAAGAUCUGGCAACACUAACUUAGUCAGCAAACGCUCGUGCCUCUAUCAUUUUCUGCACCGCACAUACAGAAGACUUUUUCCCCUUCUAGGCAUUUAUUUUUUCAGAAGAGAGACCUGUCAUGUCCAUAAUGCACGUUUAAACACUUUAUUAAGUACUAGUUGUUCAGUUCGGUUAUGUACACACUUUGCAGAGUUGUCACUACCUGCAUUUUGCGGGAGUUAAUUCGGUUGUAGAAUGCGGUUGUCAGUCCCGUAAAUUACUGAACUGUGUGUGUACAGAACAGGAUUAAGCAUUAAAAGGUGAAGUGACAACCGAAUUAAUAUGCAGUGUGUACGGGACCAUAGUGUUUAGAAUUUUUUUCUAAAUUAACUUUACAGGGACUCUAGGCAAACAACAUACCAAUAAACUCACGGUGUGCUUUAAAACUAUGGAAAAUCACAAUCUUAACCAUUAUCUCCAUACUGACAUCUCAAAUGAUGACAUCUGGGAUGCCCUGAGAAUGUAGUGUAUGCCGUACGUUUAUAAAAGCUUAGACUUAAUGCGUGAUAUGAAUAAAUGGCAGUCAUAAAUGGCCGUAAAGAUCAAUCUAUGUAUCUAUCUAUCUUAUAUAUAUAAAAAAGGUGGGUCUUGUCUCACCAACAUAUAAUGUUUCCAACGCCCAUAUAUAGCAUUGCAAGCAUAAGAUUUUUUAAAAAGUAUUCACUGGUCAGUGAUUUUUAGCCUCAAUCCUAAAUCACUGACCAGUGGCUCAGUCACAAAUUCCACCGGCCUGCAUCACACAGCUUCCAACAGUGGUCUGGAUUAAUGAAAUACUGUACCGUUUGGUCACUUCAUCACAAAAGAGGCAUGACUCAUCUUUUAGUCAAAAGAAGUGAACAAUGCCAUUCUGCCAGUGUACUCUCUGGUUUUGGACUUGCAUGUGAGUAAUAUGGUGACUGAUGGAAAAAUAAUAGACAAAUAGGCCCACCUGAUAGUCAGUGCCCACCAGCAUAUCCCAUGACUCAUAGUGCCCCUUCUCCUGCCUGUAGAAGUGAAUGGCCUUUAGGAAAGCCUGUACCUCACAUGCCCUACUCCUCAGAUAAUCUGCAAAUAGAUUACAAAAGAGAAGAGAGAUUUAAAAAAAACAUAUUUUGAAAUCUUUGUCCGGACUUACAAAACUGUGUAAUACAGGAUCACGUGAAUGGUUCUCAGAAGGUUCUCUUUUGUGGUUGCAGAGCCACCCGUGAACAGAAAAAAUAUAGGAAUGAAUAUAAAUGGUUUCAGAAUAAGCAUGUAAAAUUAAAGAGCACAUAUUAUAGGAUUGUGAAAAUUACCUUUCACGCAGUGUGUCAUGUAGUGGUAAGUGAAUGUAAACAGUAUGCAUAAGCUGCAAAGGUGAAAGUGCACCAUUACUAAAGUUGUUGUUUUUCAAAAGAAAGAGUCGACUCAGAGUCACUGAAUAAAGUCUCCCAAUCCAAUCCUUUUUCUGUAAAGUUGCUACGUCACGGCAAUGCCCGCCUACAUUCUAAGUAGUCUCUACCACGAAUACAUGAACCAUGUGGAUAACGUCAUGUCGAGAGGAUGCUGUGCUCUCUCUCUGCGCUGUGAAAGCGACUUUGGUUAAUUUUCACCUCCAAAGGAGAAGGCUGUAAACUCGGCCUGCUAUUGUCUACAAAUCUGUUGAUUAACUCUUUCCCCGCCAUUGACGAGUUAACUUAUAAAAAACGCUUCCCUGCCAAUGAAAAGUAUUUCCAGCUUUACGCAAUACCGCUAUUAUCCACCUGGCGCUCUUCCACAACUUAUAAAAUCCGGAAGUAUCGGCCUAUGUCAAACAGCUGUAUGUCCAUGUAAGUUUUGAGGAUCGCUCUGAAUCU